CACAAGUAAUAUGAUUCAUUUUAGAUCAUAUACAUUGCAUCCAUCUCUUACAUUUAGGAUUCUUUGCAUUUCAUUACAUAAUUCCAUCAUUUCUUUCUUACAUCACAUUUUCCUCAAAAUAAGCUUUACAUUCUUUUCUUUACAUUACUAAUCAUUAAGUACAAAAGAUGAACAUGGGGUAGCUACUAACAAAAUGUAACCCAACCUUGGUGGCCUCUGACUAAGGCGCGAUACCUUUAUCUCGGUCGCUCGCCGGCUCGCUCGGUCCCGGCUCUGUGGAAAUAGUGGGGUGAGAACUACAACAAAGUUCCCAGU
RNAcentral lists this long non-coding RNA (315 nucleotides) under Ananas comosus (pineapple). RNAcentral's name for it is "long non-coding RNA (ACOM_LNC013519)". The record is from RNAcentral. Lineage: Eukaryota; Viridiplantae; Streptophyta; Magnoliopsida; Poales; Bromeliaceae.